This 1169-nucleotide ribosomal RNA is filed under the name Campylobacter jejuni. Its description in RNAcentral is "partial 23S ribosomal RNA". It matches the Rfam family "Bacterial large subunit ribosomal RNA", at positions 1 to 1184 of the family's 2925-position model. Lineage: Bacteria; Pseudomonadati; Campylobacterota; Epsilonproteobacteria; Campylobacterales; Campylobacteraceae. The record is from RNAcentral.
AAAAAAGGUAAGCUACUAAGAGCGAAUGGUGGAUGCCUUGACUGGUAAAGGCGAUGAAGGACGUACUAGACUGCGAUAAGCUACGGGGAGCUGUCAAGAAGCUUUGAUCCGUAGAUUUCCGAAUGGGGCAACCCAAUGUAUAGAGAUAUACAUUACCUAUAUAGGAGCGAACGAGGGGAAUUGAAACAUCUUAGUACCCUCAGGAAAAGAAAUCAAUAGAGAUUGCGUCAGUAGCGGCGAGCGAAAGCGCAAGAGGGCAAACCCAGUGCUUGCACUGGGGGUUGUAGGACUGCAAUGUGCAAGAGGUAAGUUUAGCAGAACAUUCUGGAAAGUAUAACCAUAGAGGGUGAUAGUCCCGUAUGCGAAAAACAAACCUUAGCUAGCAGUAUCCUGAGUAGGGCGGGACACGAGGAAUCCUGUCUGAAUCCGGGUCGACCACGAUCCAACCCUAAAUACUAAUACCAGAUCGAUAGUGCACAAGUACCGUGAGGGAAAGGUGAAAAGAACUGAGGUGAUCAGAGUGAAAUAGAACCUGAAACCAUUUGCUUACAAUCAUUCAGAGCCCUAUGUAGCAAUACAGGGUGAUGGACUGCCUUUUGCAUAAUGAGCCUGCGAGUUGUGGUGUCUGGCAAGGUUAAGCAAACGCGAAGCCGUAGCGAAAGCGAGUCUGAAUAGGGCGCUUAGUCAGAUGCUGCAGACCCGAAACGAAGUGAUCUAUCCAUGAGCAAGUUGAAGCUAGUGUAAGAACUAGUGGAGGACUGAACCCAUAGGCGUUGAAAAGCCCCGGGAUGACUUGUGGAUAGGGGUGAAAGGCCAAUCAAACUUCGUGAUAGCUGGUUCUCUCCGAAAUAUAUUUAGGUAUAGCGUUGUGUCGUAAUAUAAGGGGGUAGAGCACUGAAUGGGCUAGGGCAUACACCAAUGUACCAAACCCUAUCAAACUCCGAAUACCUUAUAUGUAAUCACAGCAGUCAGGCGGCGAGUGAUAAAAUCCGUCGUCAAGAGGGAAACAACCCAGACUACCAGCUAAGGUCCCUAAAUCUUACUUAAGUGGAAAACGAUGUGAAGUUACUUAAACAACCAGGAGGUUGGCUUAGAAGCAGCCAUCCUUUAAAGAAAGCGUAAUAGCUCACUGGUCUAGUGAUUUUGCGCGGAAAAUAUAACGGGGCUAA